Molecule: long non-coding RNA, 519 nt
Filed under: Piliocolobus tephrosceles (Ugandan red Colobus)
Lineage: Eukaryota; Metazoa; Chordata; Mammalia; Primates; Cercopithecidae
Description: lncRNA (ENSPTEG00000035921.1)
Source: RNAcentral
CUGCACAUCAGAUGUGCUGCAGCUUUUGCAGGUGUGGAAGAAGGACCAUUUCUGUCUUGAUAUUCAAGUUGGAUGUCUAUCCCUCCUAUAAUUCUCUAUCACCUUUUCUGUGCCUCUCAUGAACUCACAGCACUCUGCAUAGAGGAAGCUCUCUGCUCUCUACUUGAUGAGUAAACAACAUCUCAUUAGAUAGACACGGAAAGUGGUGGCCCAAUUUUGAAGGGAGGAUCUGAUGAACUCUUGAGCAGAGGACAGCAGCACUCAGCAGACUGUGGGGUCGGAGAUCCCCUGAUUCCAUUUUGGAAAAGCACCCCAGCCAAGCAGUUGAGAAGUCGUUACCAUGGACAAGGACGUCAUGUCGGGCUCUGCACAGCCUCAAGCAGGGGACCAAGGCAAAAGAGAGCGCGAAAUCGAAGCUGUGAUCCCUGGUCAAAGACUGGCCUGGAGAGCUGGGAAUUUCCUGAAUAGGCCUGAAAGCUGUGUGUACCUCUGACUUCAUGGUGUUUGCUUGCCUGUGAC